Podarcis lilfordi (Lilford's wall lizard) is the source of this 69-nucleotide non-coding RNA. NCBI's taxonomy places the organism in Eukaryota, Metazoa, Chordata, Lepidosauria, Squamata, Lacertidae. The record is from the annotation of a GenBank genome assembly.
GGUGUGGCUUAGUGGGAGAACAUCUGCAUUGCAUGCAGAAGGUUGCAGGUUCAAUCCCUGACAUCGCCA